UACGUAGGGUGCAAGCGUUAAUCGGAAUUACUGGGCGUAAAGCGUGCGUAGGCGGUUUUGUAAGUCUGAUGUGAAAUCCCCGGGCUCAACCUGGGAAUUGCAUUGGAGACUGCAAGGCUAGAAUCUGGCAGAGGGGGGUAGAAUUCCACGUGUAGCAGUGAAAUGCGUAGAGAUGUGGAGGAACACCGAUGGCGAAGGCAGCCCCCUGGGUCAAGAUUGACGCUCAUGCACGAAAGCGUGGGGAGCAAACAGG
Molecule: ribosomal RNA, 253 nt
Filed under: uncultured bacterium
Lineage: Bacteria
Description: partial 16S ribosomal RNA
Rfam family: Bacterial small subunit ribosomal RNA
Source: RNAcentral